This 1299-nucleotide long non-coding RNA is filed under the name Salmo salar (Atlantic salmon). RNAcentral describes it as "lncRNA (ENSSSAG00000082006.1)". Lineage: Eukaryota; Metazoa; Chordata; Actinopteri; Salmoniformes; Salmonidae. The record is from RNAcentral.
AGAGGAUACACAGGUCAACAUGCAGUAGUCUGUAGAGGAUACACAGGUCAACAUGCAGUAGUCUGUAGAGGAUACACAGGUCAACAUGCAGUAGUCUGUCUAGAGGAUACACAGGUCAACAUGCAGUAGUCUGUAGAGGAUACACAGGUCAACAUGCAGUAGUCUGUCUGGAGGAUACACAGGUCACCCUUGGGUCAUGGCUUAAUACUGGAUCCUGGCCCAUCCAUCCUGACUGAUUUCACUUGGCUUAUGGCUUAAUACUGGAUCCUGGCCCGUCUGUCCUGGCUGAUUUCCCUUGGGUCAUGGCUUAAUACUGGAUCGUGGUCCGUCUGUCCUGGCAGAUUUCCCUUGGGUCAUAGCUUAAUACUGGAUCCUGGCCCAUCCAUCCUGACUGAUUUCACUUGGCUUAUGGCUCAAUACUGGACCCUGGCCCGUUGGUCCUGGCUGAUUUCCCUUGGCUUAUGGCUUAAUACUGGAUCGUGGUCCGUCUGUCCUGGCUGAUUUCCCUUGGGUCAUAGCUUAAUACUGGAUCCUGGCCCAUCCAUCCUGACUGAUUUCACUUGGCUUAUGGCUCAAUACUGGACCCUGGCCCGUCGGUCCUGGCUGAUUUCCCUUGGCUUAUGGCUUAAUACCGGAUCCUGGCCCAUCGGUUCUGGCUGAUUUCCCUCAGGUCAUGGUUUAAUACUGGAUCCUGGCCCAUCAGUCCUGGCUGAUUUCCCUCAGGUCAUGGUUUAAUACCGGAUCCUGGCCCAUCGGUUCUGGCUGAUUUCCCUCAGGUCAUGGUUUAAUACUGGAUCCUGGCCCAUCAGUCCUGGCUGAUUUCCCUCAGGUCAUGGUUUAAUACUGGAUCCUGACCCGGAAAAUUGAUCUGUGUGUUUACUUGUGGAUCAUAGGAUGUCCCAAAUGGCACCCUAUUGCCUAAUACUCUGGUCAGAAGUAAAGUACUACGUCAGUGGAGGCUGCUGAGGGGAGGAUGGUUCAUAAUAGUGUCUGAGAGAGAAUGGAAUGGAAUCAAACACAUAGAAACCAUGUGUUUUAUACAAUCACCACGAGCCCGUCCUCCACCACUAAGAUGCCACCAACCUCCUGUGCUAUAAAGGGAACAUGGUGCCAUUUGGGAUGCUAGGUGCUUUAUGAAACACAAGGGUGGUGGGACAUACAGCUAGAGGUAGUAAACCAGAGGGAGAGGAGGCUGUGUUGGAGUACAGGGGUGGUGGGACAUACAGCUAGAGGUAGUAAACCAGAGGUAGAGGAGGCUGUGUUGGAGUACAGGGGUGGUGGGACAUACAGCAGCUAGAG